GACGAACGCUGGCGGCGUGCUUAACACAUGCAAGUCGAGCGGUAAGGCCCUUUCGGGGGUACACGAGCGGCGAACGGGUGAGUAACGCGUGGGUGACCUGCCCUCAGCUCUGGGAUAAGCCUGGGAAACCGGGUCUAAUACUGGAUAUGACUCCAUGACGCAUGUUGUGGGGUGGAAAGCCUUGUGCGGCUGAGGAUGGGCCCGCGGCCCAUCAGCUUGUUGGUGGGGUGANGGCCUACCAAGGCGACGACGGGUAGCCGGCCUGAGAGGGCGACCGGCCACACUGGGACUGAGACACGGCCCAGACUCCUACGGGAGGCAGCAGUGGGGAAUCUUGCGCAAUGGGCGAAAGCCUGACGCAGCAACGCCGCGUGGGUGAUGAAGGCCU
This 388-nucleotide ribosomal RNA is filed under the name uncultured bacterium. RNAcentral describes it as "bacterial SSU rRNA". It matches the Rfam family "Bacterial small subunit ribosomal RNA", at positions 28 to 417 of the family's 1533-position model. The record is from RNAcentral.